RNAcentral lists this ribosomal RNA (408 nucleotides) under uncultured bacterium. RNAcentral describes it as "partial 16S ribosomal RNA". It matches the Rfam family "Bacterial small subunit ribosomal RNA", at positions 28 to 526 of the family's 1533-position model. The record is from RNAcentral.
GACGAACGCUGGCGGCGUGCUUAACACAUGCAAGUCGCACGGAGUGGCGAACGGGUGAGUAACACGUGGGUGAUCUGCCUUGCACUCUGGGAUAAGCUUGGGAAACUGGGUCUAAUACCGGAUAGUGCAAGAUGAGCUCGCGGCCUAUCAGCUUGUUGGUGGGGUAAUGGCCUACCAAGGCGUCGUCGGGUAGCCGGCCUGAGAGAGUGUACGGCCACAUUUGGUCUGAGAUACGGCCCAGACGCGUACGGGGGGCAGCAGUGGGGAAUAUUGCACAAGGUGCGGAAGCCGGAUGCAGCGACGCAGCGUGGGGGAUGACGGCCUUCGGUUUGUAAACUCCUUUCGGCAGGGACGCGGUACCUGUAUAAGAAGCACCGGCUAACUACGUGCCAGCAGCCGCGGUAAUUC